AUCGAUGAAGAACGCAGCGAAAUGCGAUAAGUAGUGUGAAUUGCAGAAUUCAGUGAAUCAUCGAAUCUUUGAACGCACAUUGCGCCCUUUGGUAUUCCAAAGGGCAUGCCUGUUCGAGCGUCAUUUGUACCCUCAAGCUUUGCUUGGUGUUGGGCGUCUUGUCUCUAGCUUUGCUGGAGACUCGCCUUAAAGUAAUUGGCAGCCGGCCUACUGGUUUCGGAGCGCAGCACAAGUCGCACUCUCUAUCAGCAAAGGUCUAGCAUCCAUUAAGCCUUUUUUUCAACUUUUGACCUCGGAUCAGGUAGGGAUACCCGCUGAACUUAAGCAUAUCAAUAAGCGGAGGAAAAGAAACCAACAGGGAUUGCCCUAGUAACGGCGAGUGAAGCGGCAACAGCUCAAAUUUGAAAUCUGGCUCUUUUAGAGUCCGAGUUGUAAUUUGCAGAGGGCGCUUUGGCUUUGGCAGCGGUCCAAGUUCCUUGGAACAGGACGUCACAGAGGGUGAGAAUCCCGUACGUGGUCGCUGGCUAUUGCCGUGUAAAGCCCCUUCGACGAGUCGAGUUGUUUGGGAAUGCAGCUCUAAAUGGGAGGUACAUUUCUUCUAAAGCUAAAUAUUGGCCAGAGACCGAUAGCGCACAAGUAGAGUGAUCGAAAGAUGAAAAGCACUUUGGAAAGAGAGUCAAACAGCACGUGAAAUUGUUGAAAGGGAAGCGCUUGCAGCCAGACUUGCUUACAGUUGCUCAUCCGGGUUUCUACCCGGUGCACUCUUCUGUAGGCAGGCCAGCAUCAGUUUGGGCGGUAGGAUAAAGGUCUCUGUCACGUACCUCCUUUCGGGGAGGCCUUAUAGGGGAGACGACAUACUACCAGCCUGGACUGAGGUCCGCGCAUCUGCUAGGAUGCUGGCGUAAUGGCUGUAAGCGGCCCGUCUUGAAACACGG
This 935-nucleotide ribosomal RNA is filed under the name uncultured fungus. RNAcentral describes it as "eukaryotic LSU rRNA". The stretch from base 288 to 935 matches the Rfam family "Eukaryotic large subunit ribosomal RNA", at positions 1 to 664 of the family's 3401-position model. Lineage: Eukaryota; Fungi. The record is from RNAcentral.